Long non-coding RNA from Physcomitrium patens, 1169 nucleotides. RefSeq lists it as uncharacterized. Lineage: Eukaryota; Viridiplantae; Streptophyta; Bryopsida; Funariales; Funariaceae. The record is from RefSeq and is a predicted model, not a curated record.
AUGCCAAUGUAGAUCGUAUCCGAUACAUACAACACUUCUAAGGAAGAAAAACUUGUGAACAGCAUGUCUGCUGAUAGAGCCGUCCGGACUUAUCACGACUUCUCGAAUAAUCACAACAAUGAGGAAUUCCUCAUUCUACUAGUUACUCCGAAUAAAUAUACCAGUAUUUGGUAAAAGUUUAGUGAAAUCCUUGUCAUUACUACGCAGUUUCAAACUCUAGCAUUGCACUUGUAGCUUGAUUUUCUUCAAUCCUUCUUUCUGUCUAUUUAAAUGUACAGAUGUUGAAAACAUUUCAAUUUCACCAGGCGUUCGUGAAGCGUCAGCAGCGAUGGUGGAUGUUAGAUAACAUGCAGUGUAAUGUGGCUCCGACGUACACAACCCAGUUCGUGAUCAGUGUGAGGAAAUCCGGAGGAACAUGAAGGGGUUUAGUCAAAGCAUGCGUUCGAGUCGAAUGCAUUUGAGAAUCGGGAAUUGAAGAAGUUUGGGACGGACACGUGAAAAUCAGCCAGCUGAACUUCGUGUCGCUUCAUGUGAAACUCCGUAACUGCCCAGGGUCGCAACCCCUUGUUCUUUCUCUCUGUAUUCACUUCUCUUUCCCAUUUGGUUUGCAAUUUCUUGAAGCUGGGUUUAGGAGUGAAUUGUUUCGUCAGGAAUCACAUAACGAACUGUUCUGCGCAAGCAUGGGUGUGAUCAGUGGGGUGCAAGGCACAAAGCAGACGCAAUCGCUCCUUUGAGACAUUCACAGUCAACACGAGUGGGCGGGAGAGGCUUGGACAUGUGCAUGACAGGCUGGACCCACGAUAAGUUUCGUUUUGAACUCUGAUUCCUACCCAACUUUUCACGACGUCCUAAUUCUGACUUGACCAAAACUAUUUUAUCAAGAGCUGGAUUCCAUGCUCUGGUGUCAUCUUGUACAACUCAGCAUGUAUUCACUUGCAUUUGUUUGAUUAUUCGUUUAUUUAUUUGUGUGUUGUUUAGAUUGUAAAAUGAAGUAAAAUGAGUAGAGUAAGUUAGAGAUUCGUAUUUUUUUUCAAGAUUUUUGUUUUUCUUUUUUUUCUUUUUUUUCUUUUUUUUUAUUUCUUUUGUGUGGGUAAUAUAUCUGAACAAAUGUUAUGUUUGUUUAGUGUUCUUUUUCCAUAGAAUGAAGCAUACUGGUCUGAAUUUUAAUC